This 755-nucleotide ribosomal RNA is filed under the name Salmonella enterica subsp. enterica serovar Heidelberg. RNAcentral's name for it is "partial 23S ribosomal RNA". It matches the Rfam family "Bacterial large subunit ribosomal RNA", at positions 1 to 688 of the family's 2925-position model. The record is from RNAcentral. Lineage: Bacteria; Pseudomonadati; Pseudomonadota; Gammaproteobacteria; Enterobacterales; Enterobacteriaceae. RNAcentral also lists the same sequence under 2 other names.
GGGUUGUGAGGUUAAGCGACUAAGCGUACACGGUGGAUGCCCUGGCAGUCAGAGGCGAUGAAGGGCGUGCUAAUCUGCGAUAAGCGCCGGUAAGGUGAUAUGAACCGUUAUAACCGGCGAUACCCGAAUGGGGAAACCCAGUGUGACUCGUCACACUAUCAUUAACUGAAUCCAUAGGUUAAUGAGGCGAACCGGGGGAACUGAAACAUCUAAGUACCCCGAGGAAAAGAAAUCAACCGAGAUUCCCCCAGUAGCGGCGAGCGAACGGGGAGGAGCCCAGAGCCUGAAUCAGCAUGUGUGUUAGUGGAAGCGUCUGGAAAGGCGCGCGAUACAGGGUGACAGCCCCGUACACAAAAGCGCAUGUGCUGUGAGCUCGAUGAGUAGGGCGGGACACGUGGUAUCCUGUCUGAAUAUGGGGGGACCAUCCUCCAAGGCUAAAUACUCCUGACUGACCGAUAGUGAACCAGUACCGUGAGGGAAAGGCGAAAAGAACCCCGGCGAGGGGAGUGAAAAAGAACCUGAAACCGUGUACGUACAAGCAGUGGGAGCCCCACCACUAAGCCAGUGGUGAACUCCACAUACGCAUCCUUUGCUGAGGAUACGGUUAACGGAGCGAAAGCGACGUUCAACCGCAAAAGAAGCAGAGGGGGCUUAGUGGUGGGGUGACUGCGUACCUUUUGUAUAAUGGGUCAGCGACUUAUAUUCUGUAGCAAGGUUAACCGAAUAGGGGAGCCGGAGGGAAACCGAGUCUUAAU